GUGCUGGCUUCAGCAGCACAUAUACUAAAAUUGGAUACAGAGAAGAUUAGCAUGGCCCCUGCGCAAGGAUGCCACGCAAAUUCGUGAAGCGUUCCAUAUUUAA
RNAcentral lists this small nuclear RNA (103 nucleotides) under Myotis brandtii (Brandt's bat). The record is from RNAcentral. Lineage: Eukaryota; Metazoa; Chordata; Mammalia; Chiroptera; Vespertilionidae.